CCACCAUGUUUAAGUGUCUCUUAUUUUAGGGAACUCUUCAGAAUUAGGGGCAUGUACUUAAUAAGAUAAUAAGGGGGUGAUGUUACAGAGUUGGAGCAAUGCAGAUGGGGUGGGAAUUUGCUAGUUUGUGGGGAAAAUUCCAGUCUAAAUGAGUGGAGAUGUUCUGCAGGGAAGAAGGGGUGUUUAGCACGAAGCACUAUGUGCCGGGGUGAGAUGCUCUGCAUAGGUGGAAAUAUUCUGCAAGCUGGUCUCUGCCAUCUGUGUGCUGAGUCAGUGUGUGUUACGCAGGUACAUUAGAGGGAUAUGGGGGCAAUUGAGUUACACAAGAACAGCAGAGGGGGGAGCGGAGAGGGCCACAGCUGUUGCUGACAGAAGAGCCAGCACUAGUAGGCUGUACACGGCUCUAACUGCAUCAAGUUCUGCUGUGUGUGUGCCUCUGCUAUUCCUCUACCUCAGCCAUGCAAAAUGGCACUAAAAUGUUCAGUCUUCUUGCCUCCAGCAUCACCGAUAC
Non-coding RNA from Pelobates cultripes (western spadefoot toad), 511 nucleotides. The record is from the annotation of a GenBank genome assembly. Lineage: Eukaryota; Metazoa; Chordata; Amphibia; Anura; Pelobatidae.